This 295-nucleotide unclassified non-coding RNA is filed under the name uncultured Agaricales. Its description in RNAcentral is "sequence contains 5.8S rRNA gene, ITS2, 28S rRNA gene". The stretch from base 1 to 52 matches the Rfam family "5.8S ribosomal RNA", at positions 103 to 154 of the family's 154-position model. Lineage: Eukaryota; Fungi; Basidiomycota; Agaricomycetes; Agaricales. The record is from RNAcentral.
AACGCACCUUGCACCCUUUGGUAUUCCGAAGGGUAUGCCUGUUUGAGUGUCAUUAAAUUCUCAACCAUUGAACUUGUUUCUUUGGCUUGGAUGUGGGAGUUGCAGGCUUCGUAAAGAGGUCAGCUCUCCUUAAAUGCAUUAGUGGAAACCGCUUGAGGAUUCAUUUCACUUUUGGCGUGAUAGUAUCGUCGUCGAAGGGUUUAUGUUUCCGAGGUAUCUACUUUCUAACCGUCCGAAAGGACACUUUAAUGACUUGUUUGACCUCAAAUCAGGUAGGACUACCCGCUGAACUUAA